This 288-nucleotide ribosomal RNA is filed under the name Achromobacter pulmonis. RNAcentral describes it as "partial 23S ribosomal RNA". It matches the Rfam family "Bacterial large subunit ribosomal RNA", at positions 179 to 503 of the family's 2925-position model. The record is from RNAcentral. Lineage: Bacteria; Pseudomonadati; Pseudomonadota; Betaproteobacteria; Burkholderiales; Alcaligenaceae.
GCGAACCGGGUGAACUGAAACAUCUCAGUAGCUCGAGGAAAAGAAAUCAACCGAGAUUCCGAAAGUAGUGGCGAGCGAAAUCGGAAAAGCCUUUACGUUUUAGCAUUCAGGAUAGUCGAACGGGAUGGAAAGCCCGGCCAUAGCAGGUGAUAGCCCUGUAGACGAAAUUCUGAGUGUGGAACUAAGCGUAAGAAAAGUAGGGCGGGACACGUGAAAUCCUGUUUGAAGAUGGGGGGACCAUCCUCCAAGGCUAAAUACUCGUGAUCGACCGAUAGUGAACCAGUACCG